AAGAAAAGAAAAAGAAGAUCUAGCUAUUUAAUGAUUUAAAUCAAACAAAUAAUACCUUACAAUUUAUAUAUAUUUACUCUUGUUUCUUUAAUUGGUUGCUCUCGUUUAAAGAUAGAACUUAAUUAUAAAUAUAUUGAAUCAUAAAAUCAAAAACAUUAUAUGAAGUGAUAGAAGAUGAUAAUAUAUGAAGUCAUAAUGAUAAGAAGAAGAGAUUUUUCUCGAUCAUUACAGUAGCAGUAAUAAUGAUCCCAAAAGAAAAGAGAUAUAUAUGAAGUCAGGUAGAAUAACAUUAAUUGAAAACAAGUAGGAAGUUUGAGAAAGUCGUAAUACUUACAAAGUGAGCAGCUGAGGAAGAAAGCGGAGGAAUAUGAGA
RNAcentral lists this long non-coding RNA (373 nucleotides) under Ricinus communis (castor bean). RNAcentral's name for it is "long non-coding RNA (RCOM_LNC003689)". The record is from RNAcentral. Lineage: Eukaryota; Viridiplantae; Streptophyta; Magnoliopsida; Malpighiales; Euphorbiaceae.